ACGAACGCUGGCGGCGUGCCUAAUACCUGCAAGUCGAACGCUUCUUUCCUCCCGAGUGCUUGCACUCAAUUGGAAAGAGGAGUGGCGGACGGGUGAGUAACACGUGGGUAACCUACCCAUCAGAGGGGGAUAACACUUGGAAACAGGUGCUAAUACCGCAUAACAGUUUAUGCCGCAUGGCAUAAGAGUGAAAGGCGCUUUCGGGUGUCGCUGAUGGAUGGACCCGCGGUGCAUUAGCUAGUUGGUGAGGUAACGGCUCACCAAGGCCACGAUGCAUAGCCGACCUGAGAGGGUGAUCGGCCACACUGGGACUGAGACACGGCCCAGACUCCUACGGGAGGCAGCAGUAGGGAAUCUUCGGCAAUGGACGAAAGUCUGACCGAGCAACGCCGCGUGAGUGAAGAAGGUUUUCGGAUCGUAAAACUCUGUUGUUAGAGAAGAACAAGGACGUUAGUAACUGAACGUCCCCUGACGGUAUCUAACCAGAAAGGCACGGCUAACUACGUG
This 507-nucleotide ribosomal RNA is filed under the name uncultured bacterium. Its description in RNAcentral is "partial 16S ribosomal RNA". It matches the Rfam family "Bacterial small subunit ribosomal RNA", at positions 29 to 507 of the family's 1533-position model. The record is from RNAcentral.